Molecule: long non-coding RNA, 654 nt
Organism: Ipomoea nil (Japanese morning glory)
Lineage: Eukaryota; Viridiplantae; Streptophyta; Magnoliopsida; Solanales; Convolvulaceae
Exons: 2
Source: RefSeq, a predicted model, not a curated record
UAUUUACUAAUUGAGUAAAUUUAGUACUGUAUUGUAAUUUUAUUUGAUCAUGCCAACUUAACUUAUUAAUACUUCUAUUUUUACUUCAUAAGUUGUAAUUUAGUACACAGAUAGACAACCUUUUUUUUUUAAAAAGUAGCCAGACAUUGAUAGUUUAUAUUUGCAGUUGUUUUCAGAUACAAAGAGACAUGGAUCUGGAUCUGGAUAUCAGUAUAACAAAACAGUUCGCAUCAAAUAUCUAGCAAGACUCAAUAACAUAUGUUCGCACCAGCCUAACUCGAAUGGCCUUCCUAUUGCACAGUGGAGUGAGCUGAGAAGCAAGAACAAACUGACCAGCCAUCAAAGAAGAAGAGCUUGUGAUUCGAAUAGACUAAUAUUGAAAGGUUGCAAUGUGCAAUUGCUUGUAUAAACAUGUGUAUUUAUACUGAAAGCCAUCACUUAUGCUGUGUAAGUAAUCAUCACAGCUGAGUGAAAAAGAAGAAGAGCUGAUAGUUCCAAGACCUGGUAGCCGGCUGAGGGAGAUAAUGCAGAGUCGCAGCAGUAGAAUACUUAUAGAAAGAGAAAAAUUAGAAGAUUAGAGGAUUAGCUUAGUAGAUAAAACCUAGAUUUCUUAUUCAAAUAUAAUACGUUUCCUCUAGGACAGAAAUCGGGAAA